Molecule: non-coding RNA, 73 nt
Organism: Bos taurus (domestic cattle)
Lineage: Eukaryota; Metazoa; Chordata; Mammalia; Artiodactyla; Bovidae
Source: Rfam
UCCCUGGUGGUCCAGUGGCUAAGGCUCUACGUUCCCAAUGCCCAGGGCCCAGGUUCAAUCCCUGGUCAGGGAA